GAUGAACGCUGGCGGCGUGCCUAAUACAUGCAAGUCGAGCGAACAGACGAGGAGCUUGCUCCUCUGACGUUAGCGGCGGACGGGUGAGUAACACGUGGAUAACCUACCUAUAAGACUGGGAUAACUUCGGGAAACCGGAGCUAAUACCGGAUAAUAUAUUGAACCGCAUGGUUCAAUAGUGAAAGACGGUUUUGCUGUCACUUAUAGAUGGAUCCGCGCCGCAUUAGCUAGUUGGUAAGGUAACGGCUUACCAAGGCAACGAUGCGUAGCCGACCUGAGAGGGUGAUCAGCCACGCUGGAACUGAGACACGGUCCAGACUCCUACGGGAGGCAGCAGUAGGGAAUAUUCCGCAAUGGGCGAAAGCCUGACGGAGCAACGCCGCGUGAGUGAUGAAGGUCUUCGGAUCGUAAAACUCUGUUAUUAGGGAAGAACAAAUGUGUAAGUAACUAUGCACGUCUUGACGGUACCUAAUCAGAAAGCCACGGCUAACUACGUG
Molecule: ribosomal RNA, 497 nt
Filed under: uncultured bacterium
Lineage: Bacteria
Description: partial 16S ribosomal RNA
Rfam family: Bacterial small subunit ribosomal RNA
Source: RNAcentral